GAUGAACGCUGGCGGCGUGCCUAAUACAUGCAAGUCGAGCGAACAGACGAGGAGCUUGCUCCUCUGACGUUAGCGGCGGACGGGUGAGUAACACGUGGAUAAUCUACCUAUAAGACUGGUAUAACUUCGGGAAACCGGAGCUAAUACCGGAUAAUAUAUUGAACCGCAUGGUGCAAUAGUGAAAGACGGUUUUGCUGUCACUUAUAGAUGGAUCUGCGCCGCAUUAGCUAGUUGGUAAGGUAACGGCUUAUCAAGGCAAGGAUGCGUAGACGACCUGAGAGAGUGAUCGGCCACACGGGAACUGGGACGCGGUCAAGACGCCUGCGGGAGGCACCAGUAGGGAAUCUUCCGCAAUGGGCGAGAGCUUGACGGAGCAAGGCCGCGUGAGUGAUGAAGGUGUUCGGAUCGUAAAACUCUGUUAUUAGGGAAGAACAAAUGUGUAAGUAACUAUGCACGUCGUGACGGUACCUAGUCAGAAAGCCACGGCUAACUACGUG
This 497-nucleotide ribosomal RNA is filed under the name uncultured bacterium. RNAcentral describes it as "partial 16S ribosomal RNA". It matches the Rfam family "Bacterial small subunit ribosomal RNA", at positions 28 to 507 of the family's 1533-position model. The record is from RNAcentral.